AUUGAACGCUGGCGGCAGGCCUAACACAUGCAAGUCGAGCGGAUGAAGGGAGCUUGCUCCUGGAUUCAGCGGCGGACGGGUGAGUAAUGCCUAGGAAUCUGCCUGGUAGUGGGGGAUAACGUCCGGAAACGGGCGCUAAUACCGCAUACGUCCUGAGGGAGAAAGUGGGGGAUCUUCGGACCUCACGCUAUCAGAUGAGCCUAGGUCGGAUUAGCUAGUUGGUGGGGUAAAGGCCUACCAAGGCGACGAUCCGUAACUGGUCUGAGAGGAUGAUCAGUCACACUGGAACUGAGUCACGGUCCAGACUCCUACGGGAGGCAGCAGUGGGGAAUAUUGGACAAUGGGCGAAAGCCUGAUCCAGCCAUGCCGCGUGUGUGAAGAAGGUCUUCGGAUUGUAAAGCACUUUAAGUUGGGAGGAAGGGCGGUAAGUUAAUACCUUGCUGUUUUGACGUUACCAACAGAAUAAGCACCGGCUAACUUCGUG
This 484-nucleotide ribosomal RNA is filed under the name uncultured bacterium. RNAcentral's name for it is "partial 16S ribosomal RNA". It matches the Rfam family "Bacterial small subunit ribosomal RNA", at positions 30 to 507 of the family's 1533-position model. The record is from RNAcentral.